AUUGAACGCUGGCGGUAGGCCUAACACAUGCAAGUCGAACGCGAAAGUCCUUCGGGAUGAGUAGAGUGGCGGACGGGUGAGUAACGCGUAGGAAUCUGUCCUGUAGUGGGGGAUAACGUUUCGAAAGGAACGCUAAUACCGCAUACGCCCUACGGGGAAAGCGGGGGAGUCUUCGGACCUCGUGCUAGAGGAGGAGCCUGCGUCGGAUUAGCUAGUUGGUGAGGUAAAGGCUCACCAAGGCGACGAUCCGUAGCUGGUCUGAGAGGAUGAUCAGCCACACCGGAACUGAGACACGGUCCGGACUCCUACGGGAGGCAGCAGUGGGGAAUAUUGCGCAAUGGGCGAAAGCCUGACGCAGCCAUACCGCGUGUGUGAAGAAGGCCUUCGGUU
This 390-nucleotide ribosomal RNA is filed under the name uncultured bacterium. RNAcentral's name for it is "bacterial SSU rRNA". It matches the Rfam family "Bacterial small subunit ribosomal RNA", at positions 30 to 423 of the family's 1533-position model. The record is from RNAcentral.